UUCUGAUUCAGUUCUGUCUGUAUUCCUCUCCCCAGAAAACAUCCAACUUUGGAAACUUUCCAGUCAGAAACUUUCAAAGUUGAUACAAACCUGACAAACAUGUUGCUAUGAUAAAAAGAAGUAUGUUAGUAACCAUAAGAACAGUAUGAGAAGAACUGGUAUCAACAAAUCUGCAGUCGCAGGCAAAAAAAGAUCAUUCUGAGCAAACUCAUCACUACAUGUAGGUCUUCUAGACGGACACUGGAAAUUAAGGAGCUGAGUCAUCCUCUCAAAUUCUGCGACUAUUUUCUUCAAAUUAACUUUCUACAUGGUAUCAGACUGAUACAGAGUCAGGUGGGGGUGCUGCUGAGACCUGCGGCAACAGCAAAGAAAAACAACAGCUAAGGGACUUAUUUCUCAAUAAUGAAUGAGAAAUGACUCCUUGGUUCUGAAAUGAAAUAUCUCUGAAAGUGCCACAUUUCCUAGAGGCUGUAUAACUCAUAUUUAUAUGGCCAGUUCAGUACCUUUCUGAACAAAUCACUGCUGAGGAAAACAGGGAUACGUGGAGCAGAGGAAUCCCUGCUGUUGUCUGUGACUUCUGCAAAUGGGAAGACAGGCGGCUUCCAGUUCAUGGCAGUGUAGCUUCAGUUCUGGAAGGCACAAGUAUGGAGUCUUCAACAGCUCCCUGUUUUUCCAUCUUGCUGGAAUGAUAAAGGUAUUCAGCAAUGUCACAGAGAUUAUUUUAUAUAUGCUGCAAAUGGUGUUAACCGGCGGUGGAAAUUGAGAUGGUACCUGUAUCUUCUUCAGUUACUGGUGGCUUCA
Long non-coding RNA from Strigops habroptila (Kakapo), 801 nucleotides. RefSeq lists it as uncharacterized. The transcript has 5 exons. The record is from RefSeq and is a predicted model, not a curated record. Lineage: Eukaryota; Metazoa; Chordata; Aves; Psittaciformes; Psittacidae.